UGGUUGGUUUUGUCAUUUAUAUCCUCGUGGGUGGAAACUUGAGUGACUUAUCCAUGGUUGCCACUCCCAUGCUCACAGUUGAGUUGCUGAAACUGUUGCAGUGUGUGGAUAAGCAGACAUUCCAUACAAACUAGUAUAAUAUUUAGCAUUUUUUAGCUAAUUGCAAAAAGUUUGAUUUAUUUUGCACUAUUUUUGCACCCUGCGUUUUUAUUUUCCCACCCUGCAUAGCAUUUCCUGUGUUAAGCAUUACUUACUGACAGUUGUGGUGCAAUGCAUUAUCCAGAUUCAUAUGGUUGAAUGUACAAUAGUAGUGACUGGCCUAUUCAGCAGGUACUUAGAGGGCAAAUUCCAUUUAACCUUCAAUGUUGAUCAAACAUAUCUUUUACCUCAUCUAUAAAAAAGAUGCGUCCACCAUCUCCAAUUAGGUGAAUACGAUGGACAGAUCACCAGAGAGGGUUGUGAUUAGUGUUCGGAGACGAUGCGUGCGAUAUUUUCAUCGAGUUAAAAAGUUUCAGAAAACUAGAAGCGAAAGAAGCAAAA
Molecule: non-coding RNA, 540 nt
Organism: Ciona intestinalis (vase tunicate)
Lineage: Eukaryota; Metazoa; Chordata; Ascidiacea; Phlebobranchia; Cionidae
Source: RefSeq, a predicted model, not a curated record